Molecule: long non-coding RNA, 319 nt
Filed under: Setaria viridis
Lineage: Eukaryota; Viridiplantae; Streptophyta; Magnoliopsida; Poales; Poaceae
Description: long non-coding RNA (SVIR_LNC004337)
Source: RNAcentral
UUGAAAAAGGAGGAGCAGUAGUGACAUCCGUAGGACCCAACGGGGCAUAAAAAGGGUAAAAUGACCGGAUUAUGCCAGAUGCAUCAGCCAUGUCGAUCUUAAUGUAAAACUAGUAACUUAUCCACUUGUCAUCCCACUUGUUUUUCUACGCUGAGGAAAGUUCCACCCUCGUAAUCUUUUGCUUCUCAUUCUUCCUCCAAGUCGUGAAUGUACAACACCCGAACUGCAUCUCGAAGGUGCCUUCUUCAUAAUCAAAUUGAACCCUCUUCCAUUGGAUAUGAAGUUCAAACAACCUUGCAAAACCAUCCACAUCAAUCAA